This 298-nucleotide signal recognition particle RNA is filed under the name Cebus imitator (Panamanian white-faced capuchin). RNAcentral's name for it is "Metazoan signal recognition particle RNA (ENSCCAG00000013797.1)". It matches the Rfam family "Metazoan signal recognition particle RNA". Rfam says of the family: The signal recognition particle (SRP) is a universally conserved ribonucleoprotein. It is involved in the co-translational targeting of proteins to membranes. The eukaryotic SRP consists of a 300-nucleotide 7S RNA and six proteins: SRPs 72, 68, 54, 19, 14, and 9. Lineage: Eukaryota; Metazoa; Chordata; Mammalia; Primates; Cebidae. The record is from RNAcentral.
ACUGGGCCCGGUGGUGCGUGCCUGUAGUCCCAGGUAUUCGGGAGGCUGAGGCUGGAGGAUCGCUUGAGCCCAGGAAUUCUGGGCUGUAGUGGCUAUGCCAAUCAGGUGUCCACACUAAGUUCAGCAUCAAUAUAGUGACCUCCUGGGAGCAGGGGACCACCAGGUUGCCUAAGUAGGGAUGAACCGGCCCAGGCUGGAAACGGAGCAGGUCAAAACUCCUGUGCUAAUCAGUAGUGGGAUCAUGCCUGUGAAUAGCCACUGCACUCCAGCCUGGGCAACAUAUCAAGAGCCCAUCUCU